Molecule: long non-coding RNA, 755 nt
Organism: Cavia porcellus (domestic guinea pig)
Lineage: Eukaryota; Metazoa; Chordata; Mammalia; Rodentia; Caviidae
Exons: 2
Source: RefSeq, a predicted model, not a curated record
AGCUCAUCCUCUGCCCUGCAAUUUAGUUUUAAAGCAAAUUCCCCGCACUUGGGAGGCUGAGGCAUGAGGAUGGCAAGUCCGAGCCCCUGUCCCAAAAUAAAAAAUAAGAGAAUGAAUACAUAAAAAUAAAAGGGGACGGGUUGUAGCUCAGUGUGGAGGUACUGGAUUCAAUCCCAAUACCGCUAUAACAGAAGCCCAUCACGUCGCCUCCACCUCCAAGCCGCCAACCCUAGCCAGAGACUACACACCCCAGAAUGCACCACGCGCCCCGGGAACCAGGCUCUCCGAGGCCGGGUCCCGGCCUGCACUCCCAGGAUGCACUCCGAUGCCCGCCCUGCUGCCGGGGAGGGCUGCGGGUCCUGGGGUGCUGGGCUGGACUCUUGGCUCACCUCGGAGCUCCGGGAGCCCUUCAGCACCUGCUUGCUUCCACUCUUCCACCUGGUUUCGCAGCCCUUCAGCAUGAAGAACUUCCCUUGAGCACCUCUGAAGAAGCUGAGGACAAAGUUUUUUUUGUUUGCUUGUUUGCCUUGAGGCAGAGUCUCACAUGUAGUCCAGGCUGGCCUAAACUGUUACUAUAUAACCCAGGCUUCUCUCAAACUCCUGGCGAUCUUCUGUAUCGAUUUUGAUGAGAAAACACUGACAUUGAAGAUGCUGUUCUAAGCUGAGGAUUUAGCUCAGCAGUGUAAGCACCAGCCUGGCAAGUGCAAGGUCCUGAGUUCAAUUCCUGGUACCAAAAAAAAGCACUGUUCUCUGGA